Notolabrus celidotus (New Zealand spotty) is the source of this 2933-nucleotide long non-coding RNA. RefSeq lists it as uncharacterized. NCBI's taxonomy places the organism in Eukaryota, Metazoa, Chordata, Actinopteri, Labriformes, Labridae. The record is from RefSeq and is a predicted model, not a curated record. The transcript has 2 exons.
CGCUGCCGCUGCCCGCCAACAGUGCAUUAACGCUGGAUACAAAACUGCCGUAACACGGGCUGUGCUCCGCGGAGGGAGACGGCGACGACUUGUGCUCCGUGGAGGCCGGGGAGCUGUGCAGGCUAGGCGGGGAAGAGCUGAGGAGGCUGGCGGUGUCGGAGAGCUUGUUGCUCGGGCUGUCCUCGGACUUCACCGGGAGAGAGGUGCUGUCAGGGCCGGUUAUGUCCGAUCUCCUCUUCCUUUUUCGCCUGAAGUUGCCGUUGUCAAACAUUUUCUCACAGUUUGGGUCGAGCGUCCAGUAGUUCCCUUUACCUGCAAGACAAGAAAAAGGGUUAGAAUUAAAUUCCCAAGUUCUCCAAGCUGCACAUGGAAAUUUUAACUUUACACGUGUAAUAAAGACAACAACUGACACUUGUUACAGUUUCAUUUACAUAAAUUGCACAUUUUCAAUUAAAGAAUCUUUGAAACAUAACAUGUUAAUAUAUUCAUCCCAAACUCACCAGGGUCAUCCUCGUCCCGUGCCACUUUUUUGAAACAGUCGUUCAGAGACAAGUUAUGCCGGAUUGAAUUCUGCCACCCAGCUUUGCUCUUCUUGUAGAAAGGGAAGUUGUCAGCCACAUACUGAUAGAUCUGACUCAGGGUUAACUUUUUAUCCGUGGCGUUCUGUAUGGCCAUGGCUAUCAGAGCUGAGUAGGAGUAAGGUGGUCUGACCAUCUUGAAGAGCUCCUGCUGACUGGAUAUGGACAGCCAGCCCAGGUCUGCUCCACCAAACCCGGUUGGAGGAGGCGGUAAGAACUGCCUCUGGUUGGAACCGUAUCCAGACUGGAUGUAGGAGGUGCCGUUGUUCCCAGAGAGAUACGGAGAUGAGUUGAUGCCAGGACCGUUCAGCCACAGGUAGGGGUUCGCGGACGGUGAGGUGUACUCUCCAAGGCCGUAGUUGGAGGGGUGUGUGGGCGGCCUCUGAGGGUGGUGGUGGUGCAGGUUCUGUUGGUACACACCGUAGUUAUCGCAGUACACGGCCAUGUCCAGGAGCUCUUGCGCGCUGUGGUGCUGAAUGGGGCUGGUCUGCUGGUUGGCUGGUUGGUGUCCAAAAGUGUUCAUAAUCCGCACCGGACCUAAUUCCCAAAACUUGAUUUCAGAGUGAGUCUCUCCCUCAGGACUGAGCUCAACCUCAGAGGGAGGAGUAUUUAUGCGCAGCGCGGAGACGCUACAGGUAGCCCAUUGAAGAAAAGUUAAGACAUGGUCACACCCCUCUUUAUGUCCCACUACAGAGCCACAUCUCCAUAUCAAUAUGCAUCGAUACCACAUCUGACUGCUGGCCGCGUGGUAUUUCAAGGUAGGCCUAUAUUUUCAAGCAAGGCACGAUCACACUUAUAUUGCUCGUGCGUAAUUGCGCAUUGGAGCUGGAAUUGAAAACGACAGGAAAUAAGUUAAAAACAAGUUAGAAGGAAUACCAAUGAAGACAAUGCGAAGGAAAAAAUACAAUGACAAUGUGAUUAAGUACAUAUGAUGCUUUAUUAAAGUUAAAAUAAAACAAAAUCAUUUUAUUUUAACUUUGGUAAAGUUGGUUAACUUAGGUAAAUGCAGGGUUAAUUGAGGGCCUCUACUUUAUCAGCACAACUGCUCAUUGUUGUAAAAAAAAUAAAUAAUAAUUAUACACCCUAAUUUAAAUAGCACGAUUAACGUGUGUUUGAGCACUGAUUGUGAGCAUGUCAGAACUUGUUGAACUUUCUGCAUCAAAGUGUCAAACCAAAACAACGAAGAGCCGCGUGCGCUUGUAAAAAGCAACCCUCUCUAAAAGAAAUUGAUUUAGUAAUAAACACUUUAGAAGUGCUGCAAGUUUAGUGUCAACAAGUGACUCGUGGCUCGCAGAAUUUUUUUUCAAAAAGACCUGACGGAUUUGUCAUUAAGCUUACGUCAUCCACACACCGUUUUUUUUGUUUUCUCUUUAUCUUUUUAUUUUACAAAAUGACAUUUUCACAGGUUAACUUAUUCCAACUUGAUGGAUAAUAACUUAAAAAGAGUUAUUAGAAAUUACAAAAAAAUACCAAUACUUUUUGUGACAAUAACUGUUAAAUGAGGAUUUGAGGAUGAGAAAGUAAUAGGAUUACUUUUACUAAAUCCCUUAAACAUGCUUCUUGGAUUCUGCAAGUAAGAGUGGAAAGAACAAUAGGCUUACUUUCAUUUUUAUUUUUUCUUUAAUCUUCAUCCCUCUGUGGAGUUCAUUUUAAAGGCAAUAACCUGCUAAAAGUGUUUUUCCCCGAACAGCAUGACCCUGGUUUUUAGAGCCGACCUCUGGCAGGCAAAUGGUCCCAGUUUCGAUUGCAGGGAAAAGGAAGAGACACCAACAAUCUACCGAUACUUCAGUCUCCCUGUGUGUUUGCUGCUGGACUCCUGCACUAAUCGGCACAAAAUUCCUCCUCUCCAUGACCUUGAUGUAAUUGUUUGGCUCGGAGGUGUUGUCCCGACCACAGGCCGUACAGCGGUGCAGUCCACAGGGGGGAGUGGCAUUUAACCCCCACAUGAAAACAACACAACCUGUUAGGUGUCUAACAGCCAGUACAGCUAAUUACUGCUGACUGCUGAGUGGACUUCUGAGUGUCAACCAAACCCAGCAAAGACUGUCUGAUCCUCCUCAGAGUAUAAACAUUGUUUUAUAUAGAAAUGGUCAUGCAUUGAUACAUUAUAUUCUCCCCACGUUUUCCCAUCAUGUUGAGUUCAUUUCUUUAUUUUUCAUUGAGAUUUUGACUUGGUGUCAGAUCAUUAUAAAUCACAUCCUCAAAGUUAGAAAAGUACAAAACAAAAUAGAAAAAUGUUGAUAUUACCUUUUUGGAUGGGCAACAGCAGCAGAAGAAAAAGAGAUCUUGAGAAACAACAGCGAUGGUCUUGUUCUCAAAGGUAAACCAGCAGUGGUAUCUUCAAGAUCUUGAGAA